UACGUAGGGUGCGAGCGUUAAUCGGAAUUACUGGGCGUAAAGGGUGAGUAGGCGGAAUGAUAAGUUAGAUGUGAAAUACCUGGGCUUAACCUGGGAAUUGCGUUUAAUACUGUUAUUCUAGAGUAUGUCAGAGGGGGGUAGAAUUCCAAGUGUAGCAGUGAAAUGCGUAGAGAUUUGGAGGAAUAUCGAAGGCGAAGGCAGCCCCCUGGGAUAAUACUGACGCUGAGUCACGAAAGCGUGGGGAGCAAACAGG
This 253-nucleotide ribosomal RNA is filed under the name uncultured bacterium. Its description in RNAcentral is "partial 16S ribosomal RNA". It matches the Rfam family "Bacterial small subunit ribosomal RNA", at positions 524 to 776 of the family's 1533-position model. The record is from RNAcentral.